RNAcentral lists this small nuclear RNA (21 nucleotides) under Arabidopsis thaliana (thale cress). RNAcentral describes it as "snRNA_02278". Lineage: Eukaryota; Viridiplantae; Streptophyta; Magnoliopsida; Brassicales; Brassicaceae. The record is from RNAcentral.
CAGCUUGAAAAUCGGACGUCU